GAUGAACGCUAGCGAUAGGCUUAACACAUGCAAGUCGAGGGGCAGCACAAGGUAGCUUGCUAUCUGGGUGGCGACCGGCGCACGGGUGCGUAACGCGUAUGCAACUUGCCCUAUACAGGAGGAUAACCCGUCGAAAGACGGACUAAUACUGCGUAUGCUCACAACUUGGCAUCAAGUGGUGAGGAAAGAAAUUCGGUAUAGGAUAGGCAUGCGUCCCAUUAGCUUGUUGGUGAGGUAACGGCUCACCAAGGCAACGAUGGGUAGGGGAACUGAGAGGUUUAUCCCCCACACUGGUACUGAGACACGGACCAGACUCCUACGGGAGGCAGCAGUGAGGAAUAUUGGUCAAUGGGCGCGAGCCUGAACCAGCCAAGUCGCGUGAAGGAUGACUGUCUUAUGGAUUGUAAACUUCUUUUAUACGGGGAUAACAAGAGUCACGUGUGACUCCCUGCAUGUACCGUAUGAAUAAGCAUCGGCUAACUCCGUG
This 487-nucleotide ribosomal RNA is filed under the name uncultured bacterium. RNAcentral describes it as "partial 16S ribosomal RNA". It matches the Rfam family "Bacterial small subunit ribosomal RNA", at positions 28 to 507 of the family's 1533-position model. The record is from RNAcentral.